GACGAACGCUGGCGGCGUGCCUAAUACAUGCAAGUAGAACGCUGAAGCGAGGAGCUUGCUCUUCUUGGAUGAGUUGCGAACGGGUGAGUAACGCGUAGGUAACCUGCCUUGUAGCGGGGGAUAACUACUGGAAACGAUAGCUAAUACCGCAUAACAAUGGAUGACUCAUGUCAUUUAUUUGAAAGGGGCAAUUGCUCCACUACAAGAUGGACCUGCGUUGUAUUAGCUAGUAGGUGAGGUAAUGGCUCACCUAGGCGACGAUACAUAGCCGACCUGAGAGGGGUAUCGGCCACGCUGGGACUGGGACACGGCCCAGACUCCUUAGGGAGGCAGCAGUAGGGAAUCUUCGGCAAUGGGGGCAACGCGGACCGGGCGACGCCGCGUGAGAGAAGGAUGUUUUUGGAUCGUAAAACUCUGUUGUAUGUCAAGAACGGGUGUGAGAGUGGAAAGUUCACACUGUGACGGUAGCUUAUCAGAAAGGGACGGCUAACUACGUG
Molecule: ribosomal RNA, 497 nt
Filed under: uncultured bacterium
Lineage: Bacteria
Description: partial 16S ribosomal RNA
Rfam family: Bacterial small subunit ribosomal RNA
Source: RNAcentral